UGGGGAAUUUUCCGCAAUGGGCGAAAGCCUGACGGAGCAAUGCCGCGUGGAGGUGGAAGGCCUACGGGUCGUCAACUUCUUUUCUCGGAGAAGAAACAAUGACAGUAUCUGAGGAAUAAGCAUCGGCUAACUCUGUUCCAG
Molecule: ribosomal RNA, 141 nt
Filed under: uncultured bacterium
Lineage: Bacteria
Description: partial 16S rRNA
Rfam family: Bacterial small subunit ribosomal RNA
Source: RNAcentral